Molecule: RNA transcript, 4689 nt
Organism: Micropterus salmoides (largemouth bass)
Lineage: Eukaryota; Metazoa; Chordata; Actinopteri; Centrarchiformes; Centrarchidae
Exons: 8
Source: RefSeq, a predicted model, not a curated record
UUUCCCCCCUCGUCGCUUCACAGAGCCGCCAGCAGGUGUCGCUGUCAGUUUGCGACUCACAAGUUUAAUGAUUCUGUGACAGUGGGACUAAUUUUGGACUUUAGCGCUAGUCAUUGUUUGAUAUUUGUCCAAAAUACCUCUGCUCAUGCAACUGAAAAAGACUGUGCCUGUGCGGACAUGCAGAGGUACCGGUGGCCAGGUUAUGAGGUGCAGCUUCUUAGAGAGCUGCAGAAACAACAAAACAGCGCCCAGUUCUGUGAUACCCUGCUGCAAACUGAGGGUAUCUCAGUCCCAACCCACAGUUGCAUCCUCGCGGCUCUCAGUCCCUACCUGUCUCAGAAGCUGUCAGCCUCUCCAUCUCCACCAUCGGGCCAGAAGCGCCGCGUCCAGCUCCAGGCUGUGAAGGCCCAGACCCUGCUGAAGCUCGUCGGUCUUCUUUACUCUGGGGAGCUGGAGGUAAAAGGAAGCGUAGAGCAGAAUGACGUGCUGUCUGCAGCUCGCCACUUUGGGAUCACAGACCUUCUUGAGGGACAGAAAGAUGGGGGGAUGAAGGAGCGAGACCUCCAGAUAAAAUGUUUUGGGAGUAGCAGAGAGAGGAAUGAAAGCAGGAAAAUGCAGGACGCGCAAGUUCAGGCCGAGAUGGCUGGAAGGAGAGCUACAGAUGCUCCGAUUGAAAAGAGAACGUGUGUGUCCACAGGCACACAGACUGUUAAAGCAGGUGAAAAGACAGUGGGCUUUACUCACUGUGACCAAACUAAACCUCCAACCCCAGAGCCUGCGUCCUCUGUGGCUCAAAGUUUGGAUUGUUUUAUCUCACUGCCACCCCAAAAUAUCACACCCGAGAAACAUUUGUGCUCCACUUCUUUCCCACCUAUUCCCAGCAUGCCCAGUGGAGCACCAAGCGAUGGAGAGUCAACAUUAGACCGAUCGUCUGACAGUAUAACAAAUCCCAGCUCAACUUCACCUUUGUCCAGCAGCGGGAAGACCUUCCCCCUUCCCGUUAAUGAUGACUUAGACCCCCUGACACAUCAGGAAGACGGCACCUACCAGCAGUCAUUGGAGUUUGGGAACCACGUGCGGGUGUUGGCUGAGGAAGGGACAGGGCUGGAGGAUGCAAAAACGGCUGACUAUAGAGAAAAUAGAGAGCAGCCAAGCUGCCGUGCCAGCAGAGAUGACGUUCUAGAGGAGGAAAGAGGAAACUCUACAGAGAAAAGGCGCGUGCAUGCAAAUAUAGGGAUGAAGAGCCUGGCUAAGAUGAAACAGAUGCAGCACAUGAUGGAGACCACACAGAUUUCUAUCAAAGUGAAGCUGAGGAGGAGGAGGACUAAAGGAGAAGUGUGGGAGGUUGUGAGCGUGAAAGACACAGAUGAGACGUUGUCAGUUCUUACCUCGCGGAAGCAGGAUGGCUCCAACCACAAAAGGCCACAGACAGACCUUACAAAUGGUGAGCCGCCUCCUUCCUCCAUCCAGCCAGGCCCAGUUCAUAAGCAGAUUCUUCAACCUGCUACCACCAGCUCCCCAGAACCAGCCCCUCACCCCAACACCACCUCUGACUCCCAGCCUCUCUCCAGUGACUGCUUCACCCCAAACCAAAACGAUGGCCUCGAGUCAGUCCCACUCCCUCAGCCCCCAGCCCCUGUAGAGGAGUCUGACGAGCAGAUAGAGAAGCUGUUGGAGGAUAUCAUGAUGGGCCUCAACAUCCUGCCAAACUUGGACCGGGACUGCAAGAAAUCUGCUCACCUUCAGCCGAGCCACGCCGGAGCACCAACUGUUUGCCAGGUCCCAGUUGCGGAGAAUUACCGGGCGCAGAGUCGGAUGCAUGCUGCCGUCAGUGCAGCAGGGUGUGUGUAUUACCAGGAUUUUGGGACACAAAUUCAUCACUCAUUAUCAGAUACAGCUCGGAACCAGCCCAGCUGCUCAAGCCUUUCUUCUCUACGGCCUCAUCGCUCUCCGCAGUAUCACACAACUGUGCCCCCCAUGGGGCAAAGAGAUGGAACGAGCCACCUGGGCAUGCCUCUGUCUGAAAGUCAAACUUGUCCAUACCCUGAGGCUCCCACUACAAGAUCAGACAUACCUGCAGCUUGCUACUCCAGUGGGCAGAAACUAUAUUACCCAGCAUGCCAGGAACUGUCUUCACAAGACCCUCCGAACAGCCUAGAGUUUUUACCCCUGACGAAUGGAAAUGAGGAACAGUCCCCGCAUUCUUUUUCUUUACCUUGCAUAGGUGAUCUGCGGCUUCCUCGAUGUCUCUCUCCAUUAGAGCCAUCAGCCUCAGCAGCCAAACAUCAGCCUGUCCUCAGCAACUCAGUGAACCAUAACAGUAAAAUCCAGCCAUCUCUACAUGGGCGACCUUGGCUCACAGAAAUCCCCGGAUCACUACAAUUUCCUCUCAGUGCCAUCACUAACAGAGAAAAUAAACAUACGUCUGUACCACAGGAUACAAACUGCAGCUGUUGGUCGAAGCAAGGUCAGAAAUGUCAGGAGUUGAACCCACAAAAUACCCAGGCAGAUGAGGGAAGAACCAUAUCUGCUUGUAAUCAAAAUGUGGCAGAACUGAAACCUAACUCCAGGAAGGUGAAGGGAAGUUCAAAAUGUGAACAUGGUAGUGCCGCAGCGCCUAAAAAGAAAAAGAGAACAUGUACAAGUCGUCCACAAGAUGCUGCCAGUUCUCUUUCGGCAUGCAAAGAUAUGAAGGUCGGUGAUGGUCAAAUCAACCUGAGCGUUUGUUCAGUCAGUUUGUCGAGCAACAAUGUGCUGGCCAAGGAAAGGGAAAUGGCCACUGGUUCUUCAGCCAUGCCAAGCAAACUUGUAGGGAAACCCAGUGAACCGCAAACCAUCAGAGAACGUCGGAGAAGGAAGACCAGAGGGCCUGGCGAUCUCGGUUCUGACCAGCCUCGGAUCAGGACCAGAGGCUUUUUGAAAAAAAGUCAAGGGACACCGAGUAACACGGGCCCACAAGGUUCUUCAGUUUUAAAGCCCAUGGUCUGUACAGCUGAGAUUGUGUAUAAGCAGGAGGUCACACACUGCAGGCGGAGGCGUGGAAGGCCGCGGAAAAUUCAGCUUGCAAAAAGCCCUUCAGACAGCUCUCCUGCUAUCAUUGAAAAGAUGAGCAACAGUGUGGAAAGUGAGCAGCAAAUUGACAACAAUUUGCUAAAAGAGGAGGAGGCUGAAAAAACAAAGAGGAGGUCUAGAAAACGGAAGAGGAAUAGAAGUGAAGUGGAGGUCAUUCCACAGAAGACCAUAAUUGUUGAAAGCACUUGCGAGGCCAAGGCAGACAAUAAUGGUGAGAUAAUCUCAGCAGAGAGGAAACUCAAACGGCCACGGCUGGUCACACUGAAGGAGUUUCAGAAGCUUAUCAAAUGCCAGAACUCAAAAACAAGGAAGGCAAAAGAAAGCCAGGACAAGGAAACAGAAGAAACUGCAAGAGAUUUAGAGGAAUUAACUAAGGAGACAGAAAUAAACCUUACUCGGCCUCGGAACAGGGACGGGAUUGAAGAGUCUCACGCCAUAUUUAAUGUGACGGUUGACAAAAAUCACAAUCAGAUUUUCACCAAAUCACCAGCUGAGUACGGCAAAUCACAGCGAGAUGACACAAACGGCUCUACGAGUAAGGAGAACAGUUUGUGUGGUGGUCAGUACCAUCCGGUGUUUUCCUUUGAUGUGUUGGGAGAAGAGGGGGCCAAGGUAGCAGGUGACAGGGACCAUCCAUUGAAGAACCCUGAAGAAGAGCCACCAGACUCCAUUGAUUAAAAACUGCAAUUUUCCCUUAUAGUACAAAGGAGUUGCUGGUCUACUACUUCCUUGGGUAGGUUAGUUAGUUUGCUAAAAAACAUGUACAUAAUCAAACAUAAGUACAGGUACAAAAGUAUUAUCGACAGUAAUUUAGUGGUUCUGCAGUGACGUGUCCCCUGUGACUGAUAUAUUUAUUUAUUACAUGAAUUGAUUCUUGAUACUGAUUCACCGAUGUGUAAGCAGCAUUUUACUGUUGCUGCUGCUCGAGGUGGAGCUAGUUUUAACCACCUUAUACUAUAUCUGUUUAGCUAGAAAAAGUACUUUUUAAGAUUUUUUGGUGAAACUUUGAAUAAGUUUAACCAUUUGGUCUAAAAACAUUCAUUUAAAUUAAACAUUCAGAUCUUUAGAGGGGAACUGUCUCUUUGGUGGAACUGCUAACGUCUCAUAGGCAUCUGGAGCAUGACAAGCAGCCUGAACCACACACUGGUUUGUUGUAAGGGGUCACACGCCAAAAAGGCUGAUAGUCACUGGUUUAAUCAUUGCAUCCGAUUUUAAAACCUUACCACAUGUUUUAUAUACAAUGUUAAUCUGAGAAGUAACUUGUAACUCCAGUUCUCAAAUAAAUUUAGUGGUCCUAUAUUUCCUUCUGAAAUGUAGUGUACAAGUAUAAAGUAGCAUAAAAUAGUAAUUUAUAGUAAAUUAACAGUACCUCAGAACUUAACAGUGCUUGAGUAAAUGUACUGUUAUUUUCUACUAUUGCCUUGAUACACUUUUUGUUUAUUUGCUGAGGCUUUCAGAUAUCUGCCACUCCAGUACAGUUCAGCACCAGAGGCCUGUGAUGCAGGAGUGUCGGAUACAGUGACAUACACCGGCGAUAGCAGUCGGCUGUGUUGUGACACCGAGCUCCCUCAAGAAGACCAAAGGCCUUCAGACCCCAACUUGGACCCCCAGACUCCU